AGUGAACGCUGGCGGUAGGCCUAACACAUGCAAGUCGAACGGCAGCACAGUAAGAGCUUGCUCUUACGGGUGGCGAGUGGCGGACGGGUGAGGAAUACAUCGGAAUCUACUUUUUCGUGGGGGAUAACGUAGGGAAACUUACGCUAAUACCGCAUACGACCUACGGGUGAAAGCAGGGGAUCUUCGGACCUUGCGCGAUUGAAUGAGCCGAUGUCGGAUUAGCUAGUUGGCGGGGUAAAGGCCCACCAAGGCGACGAUCCGUAGCUGGUCUGAGAGGAUGAUCAGCCACACUGGACCUGAGACACGGUCCAGACUCCUACGGGAGGCAGCAGUGGGGAAUAUUGGACAAUGGGCGCAAGCCUGAUCCAGCCAUACCGCGUGGGUGAAGAAGGCCUUCGGGUUGUAAAGCCCUUUUGUUGGGAAAGAAAAGCAGCAGGUUAAUACCCCGCUGUUCUGACGGUACCCAAAGAAUAAGCACCGGCGAACUUCGU
Molecule: ribosomal RNA, 491 nt
Filed under: uncultured bacterium
Lineage: Bacteria
Description: partial 16S ribosomal RNA
Rfam family: Bacterial small subunit ribosomal RNA
Source: RNAcentral